This 1484-nucleotide long non-coding RNA is filed under the name Oryzias sinensis (Chinese medaka). Its description in RNAcentral is "lncRNA (ENSOSIG00000008684.1)". The record is from RNAcentral. Lineage: Eukaryota; Metazoa; Chordata; Actinopteri; Beloniformes; Adrianichthyidae.
CUGGAGUGUUUUGCGUGUACUCGCGUUUCGCUCUUUUUGAGCUUCAAUGCGACCCGUAGCUCCAGAAGUCCACUCCACGAUGGCGAUGGUCCAGCUCAGAGUUUCGUCUAUUUAAGUUCGGUUCUGUUGUCGGUACUGGCCCUUAAGGUAGAAUGUGAGCUAUUUUAAUUUUGUCUUGGGUGCUUUGUGGGACUCGAAAUGUAACCCCAAAAAAUUAAAUAGAUAAUAAAAAGAAAUCAAAGCGUCGCAGUCAGGGCUUGCGGUCCUCGGACACUUUAGGACCGGUUGACAGAUGAGAAGGACCCGGAUGUCUGCUGGAUCGUUCCCUGCAGAGGUCCCACAGGCCUGGAAGGAGGAAGAGGCGCUGGUGGAUCUGCAGGGAUGUUCUGCUCAGGACCAGGAGGAGCCAGAACCUCCACAGAUCAAAGAGGAACGACAGGAGCCCCAGUCUCCUUGGAUCAAAGAGGAACAGGAGGAAAUGUGCACCACCCCAGAGGAUGGCGUGAAGCAGGAGAACGGGGCCUUUCUGCAGCCUCUCUUCACACCCAAACCUGAAGAAUCGUCUGGAGCUUCUGACGGCGACGCUGCACAGACGGAGGAGGAGGCGGAUGUUCAGCGCAGACUCUCUGAAAUCCACUGGAGUCCAACAAAUCUACAUAAGACUGGUAGGGGGCUCCAUUAACUGAAUUUCCCCUCUGCUAUAGGCCAUCUGCUAGAGGUCAAAGGUAGGAAUGAUGUGGUCGGAAUAGAGAAAAGUCCUCAACUGGAGCUUCCCAGUUAUAUUGUGUUAACUUUACAAUAUCAUUUAGAGAUUUAAAGCAUGAUUUCUUUUAUUGCUUCAGUGUCUGUCAAGAAGAAUUCAUUACACUUCAAAUGCAGGACUCUGCAGCACUGAUUUAUUAUUAAAGACCCACUCCAAUCAUCUUAAUAUGACAGUAUUUUAUUGUGGACCUAUGCUUUAAAGCAGUGGCCCCCAAACUUUUUAACGCCACGAACUGGGAUGACGUUACACAAAACUGUCACGGACCGGUCUUAAAAAGUAGGCGGAUGAUUACUGUAGCAUCACUAUGAUGAAGGAGGAUCAGAAACAUGACAAGAUGAGCCCUGAGCUUUUAUUUUGACAUGGAUGUCAUUGUACAUCGCACAGGUGUCAUCAUCCUCUCCCCUUCCCACACUCAUGGUGCCAAAAAGAAGUACUGUCUGUAAAAUGUAGCUUUCUUUUUUCUGGAAGUGGAAGGCUCCUCUUCUGUCUCCUGGCUGGGCCUUUUCCCCUUGGCAAAGAAACUUUCCAAAGACGUUUGUUUUUUACUCAUUUUGCUAGCUCCUGGGUUUGAUUUUAGCGGUAACCUGUCACGAGACGGAGAAGAGCGCCUUGGCCUGCAUCAAGAGUGACAAAGACGGAUGGAACAGAGAACUUUUUUUCAAAAGAAAACAUUUUUCAGAGUCCAAAAUAAAUAAAACAGAAUUAAUUUAAGUUAUUUAUU